Molecule: ribosomal RNA, 205 nt
Filed under: Giardia duodenalis
Lineage: Eukaryota; Fornicata; Diplomonadida; Hexamitidae
Description: Giardia intestinalis partial small subunit ribosomal RNA
Rfam family: Eukaryotic small subunit ribosomal RNA
Source: RNAcentral
GCUCAAUCUGACUCAACGCGUGCACCUCACCAGGCCCGGACGCGCGGAGGACCGACAGCCGGGUGCGCUUUCGCGAUCGCGCGGGCGGUGGUGCAUGGCCGCUCCCAGCCCGUGGCGCGAGCCGUCUGCUCCAUUGCGACAACGAGCGAGACCCCAGCCGCGGAUGCCGCGGGACUGCCCGCGCGGAGCGGGAGGAAGGCGGGCG